Molecule: transfer RNA, 63 nt
Filed under: Xylocopa appendiculata
Lineage: Eukaryota; Metazoa; Arthropoda; Insecta; Hymenoptera; Apidae
Description: tRNA-Thr
Source: RNAcentral
AGCUAUAUAGUUUAAUUAAAAUAUUAAUUUUGUAAAUUAAUGAUAAAAUAUUUUUUAUAGCUA